Acanthosepion pharaonis is the source of this 99-nucleotide non-coding RNA. Lineage: Eukaryota; Metazoa; Mollusca; Cephalopoda; Sepiida; Sepiidae. The record is from the annotation of a GenBank genome assembly.
CAUUGAGACACCGGUUCUCGUCCGAUCGUCGAAGUUAAGCAAAGUCAAACUCUGUUUGUACGUAGAUGGGUGACCCCUUGGCAAUACCAGGUACAGUAA